This 216-nucleotide unclassified non-coding RNA is filed under the name fungal sp. JH 193. Its description in RNAcentral is "sequence contains 18S rRNA gene, ITS1, 5.8S rRNA gene, ITS2 and 28S rRNA gene". The record is from RNAcentral. Lineage: Eukaryota; Fungi.
GGGCCGUAUGCACGUAGUCGGUUUUGAUUGCGCUUCCAGCUUUAAGGGCCGUAUGCACACAAUCGGAUUAGAAGCCAGACACUACACUUCCAGCCCACGACGAUCAUUAUCACGUCAAAAGGCCGUGCCAUGUAGACUAACACUCGCUAAUGCUUUUAAGGACAGCCGACUACACUUUACCCUCUAUUAAGUAUUAGAUACUGUUCAAUGGGUAAA